Molecule: RNA transcript, 2152 nt
Organism: Impatiens glandulifera
Lineage: Eukaryota; Viridiplantae; Streptophyta; Magnoliopsida; Ericales; Balsaminaceae
Exons: 8
Source: RefSeq, a predicted model, not a curated record
GAAGAAAUUGAUUCAACCACUUUCUCUCUCUUUACGUCGGAAAACUAUGCCGGAGAUAGGGUUUGAUUGCCGGAGGUCUAACUAUGGCGCCGGAGAUACAAGUCCCGAUUCUGUUUUCUUCACUCUCGGUUCCAAUUUCAGCAGCCUCUUUUCCUCCACUUCCGGCAGCGGCGAACGAUGUUCUUUUGCCUCCAAUGCGGAAGCCUCGCAGCAGCAUUUGGCAGGACAUGAUUUAAGGCAUGCUUCUAGUGGUCCAGAUUCAGAUCUACGCAUGCUUAAUGUUGAUAAGAACAGUCGUCAAUGGAGAAAAGUUGGAAAAGCAGAUGUUCAAAAGGAUGACAGCGGGACUGAAACUGAUGAUAGCAAUCUAAUCUUGAAUUCUGGAAGAAACUCAUUCUCUCAAGCUAUGAGAGAAUGUCAAGACCACAGAGUAAGAUCUGAUGGUCUUAAGUUGAAGGAAGAUCGAAACUUACAAAUGACCCGUGUGAGUUAUUCGCCUCGUUUAGGAACCAAUAAGAGGGAGUUAAUUACUAUGUCUGGCCAGACUAGUAAUUUACUUAGUCCUAGGAUGACGAUAAACCAUCGGCAUAGUAGUGUGGACACUCUAAAGGGAUGGAGCUCAGAGCGUAUUCCACUGCAUGGAAACAUUAACAGGAGGAAUGGUGUUAAUGGGAGAGCAUUGCCAUCCAAAUGGGAAGAUGCUGAGAGGUGGAUUUUCAGUCCUGCUUCGAGUGAUGGUUCUAAUAGGACCUCAUCUCAUCAGCAGCAGCCAAGGAAGCCCAAAUCCAAGAGUGGGCCACUUGGUCCUCCCGGGACUUCAUGUUAUUCACUAUUUUCACCUGCAAUUCCCAUGUUAGACGGAGGAAAAGUUAGAAAUCUUGUGGGAGGAUCUCCAUUUUCAACUGGAAUUCCUAGCACUGGUGGUUUUCCGACUCGCUCCAACAGAGAUGUAUCUGGAAAUUUUCCUGCACGCAUGGAACCUUUCAUGGCAAGGUCAAUUAGCAUACAUGGUUGCUCGGACGCGCCCGGUGGUCAAUUCCUAUUACCUGGAAUCCAAGAUAAGAACCUUGCUAAAGAUAAUAAGCAAGAAGGAAUUGAUGUUUAUCAUGCUGGUCUAAGAAAGGAUGUAUCAACUCAGAUGAGUCCUGAACGAAAUGAUCACACGUCUUCUAAUUGGGAGUUGAUCUUACCACCAGUUCAACCUGCAGUUUCCAUCCAUGAAGUUAAUGAUCCUCCUUUAACUAGAGCCAGAGUCAGAGAUGUGCGGGUUGACAAUAAUGUGACCAAGUCAAUAAGAUCUUUCAAACUAAGAGAACCUUUUCCUGAGAAAAGAUCAGCUAAUCUGGACAAUUGGAAUGGGAAAAAUGGGGAGGAUCCAUCUUACUCUUGGAAUGGAUCAAAAACAGCAAAAGACAUUUCCAUAAUGAAGAGACAGGAAGCAAAGAUUACUGCAUGGGAGAACCUACAGAAGGCAAAAGCAGAGGCUGAAAUUCGUCAACUAGAGAUGAAAAUUGAAAAGAAGAGGUCAUCAUCUAUGGACAAAAUUUUAAGCAAACUGAAAUCAGCUCAAAAGAAGGCCCAAUCAAUGAGGAGUAAUGUGUCAACAAAACAUGUUCAUCGUCAAGUUACCGAUACAUCUGAUAAGAACAUUUCUUUCCGGAAGGCGCGGAAGAUUAGUUUUUUCAGUGGUUGCUUCACCUGCAAUGCAGCUGAUUAGUAUCAAGUUCAUCCUUAUGUCACUUUAAUGUUCAUCAAUCAUCUUGAGCACAAGGCCUAUGUUAUAACAUGUUCUAUUUUGAUACUGAGUUGGAAUCAAUCAGCCUCAACCAUCACCAUGGCUCAAUGAUAAUGAACAACUGAGUAUGAUAGACUAGUUUCAAUUGCACCCUACAUCGACUAGCAAAUGGCUUUGUUCAAUGUAGUUACGCGGCUGAAAACAAUAUAUUAGGCGUUGUUUGCUUGGGUUUAGUUUGAGAAUAUUAUUCGAGACUUUAGGUUAUUCAAUGUUUUUUUUGGUUAUUUUGUUUUGUAUGGUUUUAAGGAUUAUAUCUUGGAGUGGUGACCUAGGGAGGUCUUUGGGUUUUGGAACAUUGGAUGGAUUAAUUUAUUUAAUGCUUUGGAGUUUUGAAUUUAAUAUUAUUUGAUGAAUCCU